Non-coding RNA from Trichobilharzia regenti, 52 nucleotides. The record is from Rfam. Lineage: Eukaryota; Metazoa; Platyhelminthes; Trematoda; Strigeidida; Schistosomatidae.
CCACGUUGAAAGCACCGGUUCUCGUCCGAUCACCGAAGUUAAGGAACGUUGG